UUAAGUUAUUAAGGGCGCACGGUGGAUGCCUUGGCACUAGAAGCCGAUGAAGGACGUUACUAACGACGAUAUGCUUUGGGGAGCUGUAAGUAAGCUUUGAUCCAGAGAUUUCCGAAUGGGGAAACCCAGCAUGAGUUAUGUCAUGUUAUCGAUAUGUGAAUACAUAGCAUAUCAGAAGGCACACCCGGAGAACUGAAACAUCUUAGUACCCGGAGGAAGAGAAAGAAAAUUCGAUUCCCUUAGUAGCGGCGAGCGAAACGGGAAGAGCCCAAACCAACAAGCUUGCUUGUUGGGGUUGUAGGACACUCUAUACGGAGUUACAAAGGACGACAUUAGACGAAUCAUCUGGAAAGAUGAAUCAAAGAAGGUAAUAAUCCUGUAGUCGAAAAUGUUGUCUCUCUUGAGUGGAUCCUGAGUACGACGGAGCACGUGAAAUUCCGUCGGAAUCUGGGAGGACCAUCUCCUAAGGCUAAAUACUCUCUAGUGACCGAUAGUGAACCAGUACCGUGAGGGAAAGGUGAAAAGCACCCCGGAAGGGGAGUGAAAUAGAACCUGAAACCGUGUGCUUACAAGUAGUCAGAGCCCGUUAAUGGGUGAUGGCGUGCCUUUUGUAGAAUGAACCGGCGAGUUACGAUUUGAUGCAAGGUUAAGCAGUAAAUGUGGAGCCGUAGCGAAAGCGAGUCUGAAUAGGGCGUUUAGUAUUUGGUCGUAGACCCGAAACCAGGUGAUCUACCCUUGGUCAGGUUGAAGUUCAGGUAACACUGAAUGGAGGACCGAACCGACUUACGUUGAAAAGUGAGCGGAUGAACUGAGGGUAGCGGAGAAAUUCCAAUCGAACCUGGAGAUAGCUGGUUCUCUCCGAAAUAGCUUUAGGGCUAGCCUCAAGUGAUGAUUAUUGGAGGUAGAGCACUGUUUGGACGAGGGGCCCCUCUCGGGUUACCGAAUUCAGACAAACUCCGAAUGCCAAUUAAUUUAACUUGGGAGUCAGAACAUGGGUGAUAAGGUCCGUGUUCGAAAGGGAAACAGCCCAGACCACCAGCUAAGGUCCCAAAAUAUAUGUUAAGUGGAAAAGGAUGUGGCGUUGCCCAGACAACUAGGAUGUUGGCUUAGAAGCAGCCAUCAUUUAAAGAGUGCGUAAUAGCUCACUAGUCGAGUGACACUGCGCCGAAAAUGUACCGGGGCUAAACAUAUUACCGAAGCUGUGGAUUGUCCUUUGGACAAUGGUAGGAGAGCGUUCUAAGGGCGUUGAAGCAUGAUCGUAAGGACAUGUGGAGCGCUUAGAAGUGAGAAUGCCGGUGUGAGUAGCGAAAGACGGGUGAGAAUCCCGUCCACCGAUUGACUAAGGUUUCCAGAGGAAGGCUCGUCCGCUCUGGGUUAGUCGGGUCCUAAGCUGAGGCCGACAGGCGUAGGCGAUGGAUAACAGGUUGAUAUUCCUGUACCACCUAUAAUCGUUUUAAUCGAUGGGGGGACGCAGUAGGAUAGGCGAAGCGUGCGAUUGGAUUGCACGUCUAAGCAGUAAGGCUGAGUAUUAGGCAAAUCCGGUACUCGUUAAGGCUGAGCUGUGAUGGGGAGAAGACAUUGUGUCUUCGAGUCGUUGAUUUCACACUGCCGAGAAAAGCCUCUAGAUAGAAAAUAGGUGCCCGUACCGCAAACCGACACAGGUAGUCAAGAUGAGAAUUCUAAGGUGAGCGAGCGAACUCUCGUUAAGGAACUCGGCAAAAUGACCCCGUAACUUCGGGAGAAGGGGUGCUCUUUAGGGUUAACGCCCAGAAGAGCCGCAGUGAAUAGGCCCAAGCGACUGUUUAUCAAAAACACAGGUCUCUGCUAAACCGUAAGGUGAUGUAUAGGGGCUGACGCCUGCCCGGUGCUGGAAGGUUAAGAGGAGUGGUUAGCUUCUGCGAAGCUACGAAUCGAAGCCCCAGUAAACGGCGGCCGUAACUAUAACGGUCCUAAGGUAGCGAAAUUCCUUGUCGGGUAAGUUCCGACCCGCACGAAAGGCGUAACGAUUUGGGCACUGUCUCAACGAGAGACUCGGUGAAAUCAUAGUACCUGUGAAGAUGCAGGUUACCCGCGACAGGACGGAAAGACCCCGUGGAGCUUUACUGUAGCCUGAUAUUGAAAUUCGGCACAGCUUGUACAGGAUAGGUAGGAGCCUUUGAAACGUGAGCGCUAGCUUACGUGGAGGCGCUGGUGGGAUACUACCCUAGCUGUGUUGGCUUUCUAACCCGCACCACUUAUCGUGGUGGGAGACAGUGUCAGGCGGGCAGUUUGACUGGGGCGGUCGCCUCCUAAAAGGUAACGGAGGCGCUCAAAGGUUCCCUCAGAAUGGUUGGAAAUCAUUCAUAGAGUGUAAA
RNAcentral lists this ribosomal RNA (2354 nucleotides) under Staphylococcus aureus M0622. RNAcentral describes it as "bacterial LSU rRNA". It matches the Rfam family "Bacterial large subunit ribosomal RNA", at positions 3 to 2355 of the family's 2925-position model. Lineage: Bacteria; Bacillati; Bacillota; Bacilli; Caryophanales; Staphylococcaceae. The record is from RNAcentral. RNAcentral also lists the same sequence under 17 other names.